AGCAUUGUGCAGUGGCAGUAUCAUAGCCAAUGAGGUUUAUCUGAGGCAUGAUUACUGCUAAUUGAAAACUUUUCCCAAUACCCUGCCAUGACAACUUGGAAUAUAGUCAACAUUGGCAAUUUUUGAAAGUCUUUAUGGAAUUUAAAAAGA
Salvator merianae (Argentine black and white tegu) is the source of this 150-nucleotide small nuclear RNA. Its record names the gene U4. It matches the Rfam family "U4 spliceosomal RNA". From Rfam's summary of the family: U4 small nuclear RNA (U4 snRNA) is a component of the major U2-dependent spliceosome. The structure of U4 snRNA from yeast and human has been reported. The record is from Ensembl. NCBI's taxonomy places the organism in Eukaryota, Metazoa, Chordata, Lepidosauria, Squamata, Teiidae.